This 574-nucleotide ribosomal RNA is filed under the name uncultured Pseudomonadota bacterium. RNAcentral's name for it is "bacterial SSU rRNA". It matches the Rfam family "Bacterial small subunit ribosomal RNA", at positions 97 to 649 of the family's 1533-position model. The record is from RNAcentral. Lineage: Bacteria; Pseudomonadati; Pseudomonadota.
GGCAGACGGGUGAGUAACACGUGGGUAACCUGCCCUCGAGUGGGGAAUAACCCAGGGAAACUUGGGCUAAUACCGCAUGACAUCGCCUCUUCCCUGGAAGGGGUGAUUAAAGGUGGGGAUCGAGAGACCUACCGCUCGAGGAGGGGCCUGCGUCUGAUUAGCUUGUUGGUGGGGUAACGGCCUACCAAGGCGACGAUCAGUAGCCGGCCUGAGAGGGUGAUCGGCCACACUGGAACUGAGACACGGUCCAGACUCCUACGGGAGGCAGCAGUGAGGAAUCUUGCGCAAUGGGCGAAAGCCUGACGCAGCAACGCCGCGUGGGUGAUGAAGGCCUUCGGGUCGUAAAACCCUGUCAGGUGGGAAGAAAUGGUGGCGGGCCAAUACCUCGUCAUCUUGACUGUACCACCAGAGGAAGCCCCGGCUAACUCCGUGCCAGCAGCCGCGGUAAUACGGAGGGGGCCAGCGUUGUUCGGAAUCAUUGGGCGUAAAGGGCGCGCAGGCGGCCGUGCAAGUCAGUUGUGAAAUCCCCUGGCUUACCCAGGGAACUGCUUCUGAUACUGCAUGGCUUGAGUCC